UCUCCCAUUUUAGUACUGCUUAUUUAGAUCUCACCAAAUGAGCAGUUAUGCUUAUGGGACAGAUCAAAACUUCUAUCACCAUAAAGGGGAUUACAAAUCUGUUUUCCUUAUGAAAUGGAAGAACAGCUUCUG
Molecule: small nucleolar RNA, 132 nt
Organism: Protopterus annectens (West African lungfish)
Lineage: Eukaryota; Metazoa; Chordata; Ceratodontiformes; Protopteridae
Product: small nucleolar RNA SNORA29
Exons: 1
Source: RefSeq, a predicted model, not a curated record